Molecule: ribosomal RNA, 476 nt
Filed under: uncultured bacterium
Lineage: Bacteria
Description: bacterial SSU rRNA
Rfam family: Bacterial small subunit ribosomal RNA
Source: RNAcentral
CUCAGAUUGAACGCUGGCGGCAGGCUUAACACAUGCAAGUCGAGCGGAAACGAGAAUAGCUUGCUAUUCGGCGUCGAGCGGCGGACGGGUGAGUAAUGCUUGGGAAUAUGCCUUAUGGUGGGGGACAACAGUUGGAAACGACUGCUAAUACCGCAUAACGUCUACGGACCAAAGGGGGGAUCUUCGGACCUCUCGCCAUUUGAUUAGCCCAAGUGAGAUUAGCUAGUUGGUAAGGUAAUGGCUUACCAAGGCGACGAUCUCUAGCUGGUUUGAGAGGAUGAUCAGCCACACUGGGACUGAGACACGGCCCAGACUCCUACGGGAGGCAGCAGUGGGGAAUAUUGCACAAUGGGCGAAAGCCUGAUGCAGCCAUGCCGCGUGUGUGAAGAGGCCUUCGGUUGUAAGCACUUCAGCGAGGAGGAAAGGUUAGUAGUUAAUAACUGCUAGCUGUGCGUUAACUCGCAGAGAAGCAGGUU